CAAGCUGAAGUCAAAUUAGAAUACUUGCUGAACUUAAGCAUAUUAAUAAGCAAAGGAAAAGAAAUCAACUGAGAUUGCCUUAGUAAUGGCGAAUGAACCGGCAAAAGCUCAUUGCUGAAGCGUGUUAAAUUCACUUUUGACAUGCAUUGUAGCAUUUGGGGUGACUAUUGUAUGGUGCCUGUUCGUGUGAGUUCCUUUGAUCAGGGCUUUAACCAUAGAAGGUGCUAGUCCUAUAAUCACGAAUAGUUUGUGCCGUACAUUGUACACCUUUCGAGUAGCGUAGUUUGAGAUUGCUACGCCAACGUGGGACGUAAACUUGUUCCAAAGCUAAAUAUUAUAACGAGACCGAUAGCGAACAAGUACCGUGAGGGAAAGUUGAAAAGCACUCUGAAGAGAGAGUUAAAUAGUACGUAAAACCGUACAGAAGAAAACGAAUGGCCGCAUUCAUCAGAUUACUUUGGAUUCAAUUUGAUCUCUAUAUGAUGGUAAUACAUGUCAAUUGUGAACUUCAACAGUCCAUUGAUAUGUUGAUUGCCUGGAGUCGAAUGCAUUUUCAAAGUAUUAACUGAACCUGGAUCUAUAACAGAAGCUAGUUGAAUCAGCCUAUUUUGGUAGCGAGUUUACUCGUGUUAAAAAUAUGGCUUGCAUAAAUAACAAAUUCGACUUGGCGUUAUAGGUAAACAGACAAGUUUUUUGAUUUCAGUACUUUCGAGUACGGCAUGUCAUGAGCAUUGUUUGUGUCACAUAAGUAACUAAGAUCUAAAAAAUCUUAGUUUUAUUUAUCGUCGAUGCCUAAUGUUUUGUGGCUGUCAAUGAAAUCGGCAAGUCUACAGGAGUUUUGAAUGCCGAGUUAUUCGACCCGUCUUGAAACACGGUCUAAGGAGUUCACUGCAUGUGCAAGAGUUCGGCUGUAUGAAAAGCCUUGCUCGUAAUGAAAGUAAAGAACAUUCUUGCAAUGUUUUAAGUGUGAUUUCUGUCAUCUGGUGCAAAUCAUGACAAUGAACGCAACACUGACAGGUUCUAUUGCCGUUGGCAAAGAGCUUAGUAAGAGUAUAUGCAAUGAGACCCGAAAGAUGGUGAACUUAAUGUGUGUAGAAUGAAGCCAGGGGAAACCCUGGUGGAAGUUCGUAGCGGUUCUGACGUGCAAAUCGAUCGUCAAACAUGCAUUAAGGGGCGAAAGACUAAUCGAACCAUCUAGUAGCUGGUUCCGUCCGAAGUUUCCCUCAGGAUAGCUGGCAUUCAUUUUUUACAGUUAUAUCCGGUAAAGCGAAUGUUUAGAGGCAUUGGGCGUAAAAUACGCUCAACCUAUUGACAAACUUUAAAUGGGUAUGAAGUUCAUUUUUCUACUUCAUUGAGAAUGAACAGCGAAUGUGAGUGCCAAGUGGGCCAUUUUUGGUAAGCAGAACUGGCGCUGUUGGAUGCACAAAACGUCAAGAUAAAGAGCCAGAUGGUCUCGCUCAUCAGAUACCAUAAAAGGUGUUGGUCGAUAUAGACAGCAGGACGGUGGCCAUGGAAGUCGGAAUCCGUUAAGGAGUGUGUAACAACUCACCUGCCGAAUCGACUAGUCCUAAAAAUGGAUGGCGCUCGAGCGAGCCUCUUAUACUUGACUGUUACGAUACAAUAAGCCAUUCUUACGGACAUCAUGUCGUAACAAGUAGGACGGUUGAUAUGGUUGCGUCGAAGGCUAACACGUGAGUGUGGCUUGAGCAGUCAUAUGUACAGAUCUUAGUGGUAGUAGCAACUAUUCAAAUGAGAACUUUGAAGACUGACGUGGAGAAAGGUUCCAUGUGAACAGCUAUUGGACAUGGGUCAGUCAGUCCUAAGAUGCGCUCGAAAGAGGGUUCCGAACGAGGAAUAUUUAUAUUCAUACAUACAUAUAUUCCAUCAAAUCGAAAGGGAAACAAGUUAAUAUUCUUGUACUAAGUGUCGGAGAUUGUUUGAUUUCUUGUCAAACAUAUGUGGUAACACAAACAAGCUCAAAUACAUCAUAAGUGGUCCUGGAAAGAGUUUUCUCUUCUUUGUUACUUCAUCAGACGACCCUGGAAUCAGUUCAACUGGAGAUAGGGUUCAAAUGAAGGUAAAGAGUAGCCGUUCUUGCUACUUCCUCGGUGCAUCAUUUAUGAUCCUUGAAAAUUUGAGCGAGAUAAUCAAUUUCGCACUUAUCUGUACUCUAAACCGCAUCAGGUCUCCAAGGUGAAAAGCCUCUAGUCAAUUAGAACAAGGUAGCACAAGGGAAGUCGGCAAAAUCGAUCGGCAACUUCGGGAUAACGAUUGGCUCUAAGUGCUAGGGUGUUCGGGCUUGAUGAU
This 2307-nucleotide non-coding RNA is filed under the name Genlisea aurea. Its description in RNAcentral is "Eukaryotic large subunit ribosomal RNA". It matches the Rfam family "Eukaryotic large subunit ribosomal RNA", at positions 1 to 1983 of the family's 3401-position model. The record is from Rfam by way of RNAcentral. Lineage: Eukaryota; Viridiplantae; Streptophyta; Magnoliopsida; Lamiales; Lentibulariaceae.